RNAcentral lists this ribosomal RNA (400 nucleotides) under uncultured bacterium. RNAcentral describes it as "bacterial SSU rRNA". It matches the Rfam family "Bacterial small subunit ribosomal RNA", at positions 355 to 748 of the family's 1533-position model. The record is from RNAcentral.
UCGAGAAUCUUUCACAAUGGGGGCAACCCUGAUGGAGCGACGCCGCGUGGAGGAUAAGGUCUUCGGAUUGUAAACUCCUGUCAUGCGCGAACAAGGUUGCAGGGAUAAUACCUUUGCAAAUUGAUGGUACCGCAAGAGGAAGAGACGGCUAACUCUGUGCCAGCAGCCGCGGUAAUACAGAGGUCUCAAGCGUUGUUCGGAAUCACUGGGCGUAAAGGGUGCGUAGGUGGCGUGGUAAGUCAGAUGUGAAAGCCCGGGGCUCAACCUCGGAAUUGCAUCCGAUACUACCAUGCUUGAGUACUGAAGAGGAAACUAGAAUUCUCGGUGUAGCAGUGAAAUGCGUAGAUAUCGAGAGGAAUACCAAAGGCGAAGGCAGGUUUCUUGGCAGUUACUGACACUG